GCCGGCGUGGUGGAACGGCAGACACGGUAGACUCAAAAUCUACUGGGGGCGACCCCGUGAGAGUUCAAGUCUCUCCGCCGGCA
This 83-nucleotide transfer RNA is filed under the name Treponema sp. Its description in RNAcentral is "tRNA-Leu". It matches the Rfam family "tRNA". From Rfam's summary of the family: Transfer RNA (tRNA) molecules are approximately 80 nucleotides in length. Their secondary structure includes four short double-helical elements and three loops (D, anti-codon, and T loops). The record is from RNAcentral. Lineage: Bacteria; Pseudomonadati; Spirochaetota; Spirochaetia; Treponematales; Treponemataceae.